Molecule: long non-coding RNA, 3543 nt
Filed under: Gallus gallus (chicken)
Lineage: Eukaryota; Metazoa; Chordata; Aves; Galliformes; Phasianidae
Description: lncRNA (ENSGALG00010012420.1)
Source: RNAcentral
GCUCAUUUGUAGCGUGAAACCACGCAGCUCCUCCUCUGGCUGCCACUGUGCUCCUGCUUAUAGGGCAGCUACUCAGCUCAUCUGUGUUUACCCUAAAGAUGGGGGGCAGGCGUAACCUUUCUGUACACCCAGCGUGAAGUGGCUUACCCCUCCGUGAAACUCAGGUGAGCUGCUUCUCUGCCGACUGCAAACUGGGAGCAUCUUCACGGGGAACUUUUCCGCUGAAAUCAAAGUGAAACUUCACCCUGGGCUUUCUUAUUGCUGCCUCCUGAGUCACCACAUCCUUCUCUUGUCACCACCACCUUUCUGUUUAGAAAGUGAUAAUGAGACGCAGUGUUCAGCAGUGAGAACUGGGUCUGUGUGCGAGGAAUGAAUUUACAGAGGGGUUAAAAUUCGCUCUUUGAAAGCAGAGAGCACCAAAAGGUCCACCUGGGGAGUCAGUUGUUGGCGUGCUGCAGUUUUACAGUGCUUCCCUACAUUUCUUGUGGAGACAAGCCCCAAGGAAUCUGAAGACUUGGCUUAUUUUCCUGAUCCUGCAACAGAUCCUGCCUUGCCCGGCUAUGGGUAAGUCUUUUAGGUGCACAUUUUCAAGCGCAGGCUUUAAUUUUAGCCCUCUGGCUUAAGAUAUCCAGAAUCUGUCCUGCGUGUGUAUUAAUCUCUUACAGCUCCAGCCAAAAUUAGCAGAAGCUGCCUGUACACAAAGGUGCACAGAAAAUUAGAUGCUACUUAGGAAAACAAGGCCUGCCCUGUCUUACUCAGCUUGCUUAUGUGUUUAGUGGGGAUGAUAACACCUGUCCAGCUGCGGAGACAUCAGGCUAAAUUAAUUAAGGUUAGCAAAGGAUGUGAAGCAAUUAAUUAGUUUUUGCAGAGUUGCUUGCAUGUGUAGAGGAGAAGAGCUCUUUGAGCACCGUUUCUCCUGCUUUGGUCUUUCUAUUGGAUUCAAAUGAGGAUAAACAUUACCUCCUUCACAGAAAGCUCAGCUAAAUGUUAUGUGCCCGUGAAGAGUUUGGUUUUACUUGGAAGGAGUAGGGCAUGAGAUUUUGGUUCCUCUCACUUGUUUAUGAGCAUGAAUUUACUACACAUAAAUCACUGCAGGUCAGAACAUUGCUGUUGCCUUAACACAAAGUAAGAGAGCACAGAAUCACCCUUUAAUGUUGUGCAAUUGGACAGGAUUUGGCUUGUCCUCAUUUUGUGUUUGGAGAACUCGGGCUGCCCUUUGUGCUCGAUGUUCUACCUCUUUUUCUCUUGAAGGUCCAGUGGAGAAAUCCGACUGGGCGCGUUUGCAUCACUCACUCACUGCCUGUUCUUUGUCUGUGUGCAGUGUUUUGCUGAAAUUAAAGCACAGCUUUCUUCUCUUUGCUCACUGUGGGAUUUCCCGGUGUUUCACAAGGCUGCCGUUUGAUGAACAUUUCAAGCUGGCACUGAUGCUGAAAGAAAGAGUCAUGUUUUCUUUAUACCUGUUCCCUUGUAUCUAGUCCAGCGUGCACGUGGAUGUAAGAUGGACCAGAUCAGGGAGGGAAUCUGGCUCAGAAAAUAGCUGUUUCUGUCUUGUAAUCACAUUUGUUUUAUGUGGUUCCCUUUCAUGACAGGGCUUAGCAGCAGGGCAAAGAAGAGGAGCUGGGAAGAGAAGGAGGAGAGGCCAGGCUUCUCCAGGUGGAGAGCCUUGCUGUUUCCCACCCCGUGUCUCUUUGUCUCUCACUCUACUAUCUCCUGGAGUUGGCAACAAGUUAAUGUGACUCGGGAGCCAGAAGAGUUCAGCUCAAAGCAGCUGCAGAAAAAAAGCAUCCUGCUGCAGAAGAGCCAAUGGCCCUGGGAACAGACUGCUUUUAUAAAAAGCCUUACGAGAGCCAGAUGCCCCCUACCCUGACAAAGACUGAUCAGGUGGCUGCUGGUAUCGCCUUUCACUGCUCUUUGGCAAGGGUGGAAACACAGAAUGAUGGGUGCCAUGGAUUUAUGCUUUGUGAGAGGUCAGGUCAGAUCAUCAGCAUGGAAAAUAAAUCCAUUGGAUGUAUCUCCCGGGGGGUGCAGGAGGCUGUGCUGCAAGUCUCUUGGCACGGGGCAGUCCCCCAGCACUUCCCCACCCGAGCGGCCGCAGCAGGUGAUCCGCGGAGGAAGAGGAGGAUGAAGCCCGGCGUGCGAGCCAGCCCCGCCGGCUGCCGAGUGCCACCAGAGGGUGCUGCGCCGUACCGCCGGCCGGCAGGGACGGAUGGGAACGGGAGGGAUGCGAGAGGGACGCGGGAGGCUGCGGCCCCAGCCAGCUCCCUGCCUGCCAGCUCCUGCUGUGGUUGCCAGGCUGCUUGGUUUGGUUGCCCCGCAGCUAGCUAGUUCCGUCUGAUGGACCUCAGCUCCCUCUGGAGAAAACAAACGUUUGUGGCCGUGUUGAUGUGCAAGGAGGAAAACAUCGACACCGCAGAUAACGUGGUUGGUACGUCUCGAGACAGCGUAUGUAGAAGACAGCAUUUAAAAGGGUUGGUUUAUUAACUUUGCGCUCCCGUGCCGUAACCAGCCGCCCUUUAGGGAGACAGAAUUAGCCUCUCUUUAGCAGAAGGCAUCACAUCCCUCUGCUUAUGUCCCGUGCCGCUGCUCCCCCCAGCAGCCGCACUCCUCGGUGCCUGCUGUCCCACACGUCCGGGGCUGCUGUACAGAGCGCUCCUUAUACAGACGUCUCUUGGCAUGGAGGCGCUCCCCGGGAGCACGACUGUAGGUUGAAAUUCUGCCUUCUUGGAAUAAGCAAAUGCCAGGGGUUUAUUUCCUAUUAAGCUAGCAGAUAGUUUGUGCAUUUAGCCGCAGUUUGCUGUCUCCAACCAGAUACGGGUGGAUCCUUCUUGUUUUCCUUCCUCUUUAUAUUUCCAGCCUGGGAAACAGCAAAAAGUUUGUGCAAAAGCAACAUCUGUGGGAGAGAGAGAGAGAAAAGGAUGAGGCAGGCUGGCCCGGCAGCCAGCCUCAGGAGAUGUUGUAACUUAAAAAUGCUGACUCACUGGCACUGUGUGCCAACACAAAUGUUGCUGCGGAAAUCAAUCAUCAUGAGAGCCUGGCGAGAUAUAACCCCACAGUGGCGCAGGCUUUGAAUGGGCCUCUUUGGUCAUUCCAAGUUUCUUCUUCAGACAAUUCGCCCGGAAACUUCCUUCUUGUCAGGUUUUCCAGAUCCAAAACCACAGAACUGCUGGAGAUUCCUUGACGUGUACACGGGCAAAACAGAGCAAGCAAGAGUACUGGUCAUCCUUGCUGGCCAUUCUGUUUCUGAACUGGGCCAGAAUGAAGCAUCCUACCUUAACAACAGUCCAAAACUCUGCUGGAAUUUGGACUAGCAUCCAAACUCAAGGCACAGGCUCUUCUCUAAAUAAAAAUAACUCAAUCACAAGCUAUUUUGGGGUGGUGACUUUCAGACAAGAAAUGUAGGGCUUACACAGGUUUUUACUUCUGUCAAAUACAUCUGGAUGCUGUACUCCUUCCUGCCGAUACUCUGAACUUGCUCUCUUCAGCUCAGAGCCAAAGAACUCCAACUGAAAGCUAGAAAUGGUAGAACAACUGAUGUUACUCAAG